ACGAACGCUGGCGGCGUGCUUAACACAUGCAAGUCGAACGGAAAGGCCCUGCUUUUGUGGGGUGCUCGAGUGGCGAACGGGUGAGUAACACGUGAGUAACCUGCCCUUGACUUUGGGAUAACUUCAGGAAACUGGGGCUAAUACCGGAUAGGAGCUCCUGCUGCAUGGUGGGGGUUGGAAAGUUUCGGCGGUUGGGGAUGGACUCGCGGCUUAUCAGCUUGUUGGUGGGGUAGUGGCUUACCAAGGCUUUGACGGGUAGCCGGCCUGAGAGGGUGACCGGCCGCAUUGGGACUGAGAUACGGCCCAGACUCCUACGGGAGGCAGCAGUGGGGAAUAUUGCACAGUGGGCGGAAGCCUGAUGCAGCAACGCCGCGUGCGGGAUGACGGCCUUCGGGUUGUAAACCGCUUUCGCCUGUGACGAAGCGUGAGUGACGGUAAUGGGUAAAGAAGCACCGGCUAACUACGUG
Molecule: ribosomal RNA, 467 nt
Filed under: uncultured bacterium
Lineage: Bacteria
Description: partial 16S ribosomal RNA
Rfam family: Bacterial small subunit ribosomal RNA
Source: RNAcentral